Molecule: ribosomal RNA, 971 nt
Filed under: Camarosporidiella halimodendri
Lineage: Eukaryota; Fungi; Ascomycota; Dothideomycetes; Pleosporales
Description: SSU rRNA
Rfam family: Eukaryotic small subunit ribosomal RNA
Source: RNAcentral
UUGAUAGUACCUUACUACUUGGAUAACCGUGGUAAUUCUAGAGCUAAUACAUGCUAAAAACCCCAACUUCGGGAGGGGUGUAUUUAUUAGAUAAAAAACCAACGCCCUUCGGGGCUUCUUGGUGAUUCAUAAUAACUUUACGGAUCGCAUGGCCUUGCGCCGGCGACGGUUCAUUCAAAUUUCUGCCCUAUCAACUUUCGAUGGUAAGGUAUUGGCUUACCAUGGUUUCAACGGGUAACGGGGAAUUAGGGUUCGAUUCCGGAGAGGGAGCCUGAGAAACGGCUACCACAUCCAAGGAAGGCAGCAGGCGCGCAAAUUACCCAAUCCCGACACGGGGAGGUAGUGACAAUAAAUACUGAUACAGGGCUCUUUUGGGUCUUGUAAUUGGAAUGAGUACAAUUUAAACCUCUUAACGAGGAACAAUUGGAGGGCAAGUCUGGUGCCAGCAGCCGCGGUAAUUCCAGCUCCAAUAGCGUAUAUUAAAGUUGUUGCAGUUAAAAAGCUCGUAGUUGAAACUUGGGUCUGGCUGGCAGGUCCGCCUCACCGCGUGUACUUGUCCGGCCGGGCCUUCCUUCUGGAGAACCUCAUGCCCUUCACUGGGCGUGUUGGGGACCAGGACUUUUACUUUGAAAAAAUUAGAGUGUUCAAAGCAGGCCUUUGCUCGAAUACGUUAGCAUGGAAUAAUAGAAUAGGACGUGCGGUCCUAUUUUGUUGGUUUCUAGGACCGCCGUAAUGAUUAAUAGGGACAGUCGGGGGCAUCAGUAUUCAAUUGUCAGAGGUGAAAUUCUUGGAUUUAUUGAAGACUAACUACUGCGAAAGCAUUUGCCAAGGAUGUUUUCAUUAAUCAGUGAACGAAAGUUAGGGGAUCGAAGACGAUCAGAUACCGUCGUAGUCUUAACCGUAAACUAUGCCGACUAGGGAUCGGGCGAUGUUCUUUUUCUGACUCGCUCGGCACCUUACGAGAAAUCAAA